CCAUGAUGAAAACAAAAUGCAGGUUAGGGACAGAAGGUUGUUUGAGUGUAGAAACAGAGUCGUUUACAUUGAAUAAAUCUGACACAAAUUUAGAACAUAUUAAACAGUGGUGAAAUGGUCAUUUCCCUUGCAAAAUAGACAUAAAACAAUAUUUCAAAUUUUAUAUCAGUUUCUUGAGACGAUGGAUGGUCAGGGAAGUUGGCUGUAGCCAAUCAAAAGCAAAAGAUAGUGUCACUAGAUUGUUGCCUAGAAGCAUUUCCAUUACAAUGGUUUCUAAGCAACAUUGAUGGGUUAGUUAAACAACACAUAAAAUAUUCAGACAGUGUUUCCAAAAGGGAGAAAAAAUCAGUAGUCUCAUCCACUUACGUCAACGGUUCCAGGUUCUCAUGCAAGAAACCAAGAAGUCAGCAAAAUCAGGAAAUCCAUUAAGACGAUCAGAGACACCGAAACUUUCCAAUUUAUCCACCAAAGAAAGCUGCUCCACCCUUCUGACCCAACCUUCUUCAGCACCAUAAUGGGAUGUGGCGACCAGAAAUGCAUACAGUAUUUCCGGGGAUGGGCUUUUGAUGAUGCAUGUCAGGAAUUAAGAAGAAAUAUAUAUGUUCAAGAAUGGCUCUGAUCUUCAAGGCAUUACAGCCGUACUGUAUUUACAGGAUAGAGCAUGCGAAAGAUUAUUUCUCAAAGACACUCACACUCGUGGAUGCAGUCUCACCGUCAGCCACGUCUUCUUCAAACCCAAGGACAACUCUACCAGAGCACCAGAGCAAAGUACAAGAAUGAAAUAUGCAAUAUCACAUUCUACAAUUCCUGUCAACAGGCACAUUGGUUAUUUGUAUCUGUCAUUUAACAGCACAAAACAUUAUGUACUUACAUAUUCAGACUUUUUGUAAAACAAGUGCUCUCUGAUUUUUGAAUCUGAGAUUGGAGACAAUCUUUGAUCCUUAUGUUUAAUAUAAUAUUAAUUUGAAAUGUUUAAUAUUUUAAAUGCUAAGAAAUUUCAUCAUUUCACUUGGGACUGCUGAAAAGAGUAAGGUAAUUAGGAGGAAUUUUUAAGAUGAGAUCUAAGACUACUUUUUGCUUGA
Molecule: long non-coding RNA, 1082 nt
Organism: Ornithorhynchus anatinus (platypus)
Lineage: Eukaryota; Metazoa; Chordata; Mammalia; Monotremata; Ornithorhynchidae
Exons: 4
Source: RefSeq, a predicted model, not a curated record